This 247-nucleotide long non-coding RNA is filed under the name Mytilus galloprovincialis (Mediterranean mussel). The record is from RNAcentral. Lineage: Eukaryota; Metazoa; Mollusca; Bivalvia; Mytilida; Mytilidae.
GUUGUUUUUCUUUCCAUAAACGUAACUUGAUGUGUGCUUUUCGAGUAAGGUAAGUGCGUCAGAUAUCUGAAAGAUUAUUAUAAAAAGGAAAGCAUAAAUUAUAACAAGAAUUUACAGAAAUAAGAAUGAGACAAAACUAAGAAAAAUGGAUAAAAAUUAAAAAUAAGGAAUACAGACUAACGUGGCUACAAUAUACCGACUGUUGGUUGCUUAACGUCAAGUGGCAAAUAUUUCAUGAAUGUUCAGG